ACAAGGCAGUUAUCCCACUGUUACGAGGCUGUCAUUGAAAAUAAGAAUUUGUUCUUAACUGACUUGCCUAGUUAAAUAAAGGCUAAAAAAAACAUUUUAAAAAUCAGCUUCUUGAUAUGUAGGGCCCUAUGAUUUCCGCGAUGUGGAAAACUCAGAAGGAAUUGCAGAAAUUGAUAAUAAAAUUAUCAAUUGUAAAAAGUGGAAUAUUUCAGAAUUUUCCAUAUUUUGACUGAAAUUGAUUUUUUUUUUAUAUAAAAAAAAAACAGAAGUAGGCCUAAUGAUUGUAGUAACCUAAAUGAUUUCAGAUUUGUAAAAUUACAGACGAGUAGGCCUAGAGAAAUAAUUCAGUUUUCGAUUGAGGUGUUUUGAGGGGGGGUUGGUCGUGCGUUGGAACCCUUACGUCAACCUCACAACUUGGCUGUCACUUUGAGAAACAUGUCGAAGAGGCCGUCUGAGAGGGCCAAGUCGUAAAAAAAACCAAAAUAAUUUGACCCUAAUCCCUAAAUUCAGAGCAGAGCAAUACCGAAAGGACUAUUAUGAGUCAGGCGAUGAGCUGUUUUGCAAAUUCUGUCAACAUACUAUUGAUUGGACCCGUAAAAAUACGUGUGAUGACGACUUAAAGUCUAAAGCCCAUGUGAAGAACAAGGAAAAGCACUGUGUUAGCCAGAGCAUCCCUCUUAAAAAGACCAUUACUAGUGCAAGCGCUUCAGCAUAUUCAAGAAAAUAAUUUAUUCAGGACUUUGUGGCUGUGUGCACCGAGUCUGACAUCCCCUUAGAAAAGCUGAAGCAUUGCAAACAGGGAGGAGCGUUGCCCGAAAAUGAGAGACGGCCUCCGUCAAACGUAUGACUGCCAUUCUACAGAAGAUCUGUGGGAAGAAGUUUGUGGUGGUUGUUGACAAGACAACAGAUGCAAGGGAUUGCAGGGUUCUAAACAUGAGUCAUUGGUGUUGAAAACCAGUACUUUCUGGUGGAUGCCAUUUUCAUGGACAGAUGCAUCUACUCAACGUUUUCCCAAGUAAUACUAGCCUCCCUCCACAGCAACAGUCUGAACCUGAAUGAUGCCUGGGCAGUGGUCACAGGUAAUGCCUCCUACUGCCUGAAGGCAUGCAUGGGGGUUCUGAAAGGAGUGAUGCCCAACAGUGUCCAUGUAACCUGUCUCUGCCAUGUCAUCAAUCUAGUGGGUGAGACCUGGCAACACUACAAAUAUUUCACAUGUGACAUGGAUGAGAUCUGUCUUCUUCAAGAAGCCUGCCAGAAAGAGAUGAGUGAACUUCCUCAUUAUGAAGGAAUUUGUGCUGGCCAAGGAUCCCCUUGGAGCAGCAUCCUCCAGAUGGAAUAACUGGUUUGAAUCAGUGAAGUACCAUGCAGUUCAUCUGUACAGAGUUUUUGGUGGCAGAAAAGUCAUCAUCCCAGGCAGUCACGAACAUCCUCAGCCAGCUGGAAACAGAUGAGAAGGUUGCUGCAUUGUCGCCUAUAUUCUUGCAUUACUUUUUUUCAAUUUAUAAUGAGACGCUUAGUAGGACUCUGUAUUGAAGCACUUGUCUUGAUAAAAAAUAGUGCAAUGUUGUGUUGCAUCAUUACAAAUUUACUGUUAUAUCUUAUUAAAUUGUUUACUUUUUAUUCAUUCAUUUAUUAGACAGUCUUUCUGAUGAUACAAUUAGAGUAAAUUGUAAAACACAGAAUUCAGAAAAAUGAAAAUGGAAUUUUGAGAAAAAAAUAAAUGAAUUUCAUAGGGCCUUAGAUAUGCCACCCUGUCAGGUGGAUGGAUUAUUUUGGCAAAUAAGAAAUUCUCACUAACAAAGAUGUUAAGAAAUUUGGGCACCAAAUUUGAGCAAAAUUAGAUUUUUGUUCUAUAAGAUCUUUUAUUUCUGCUCAUGAAACAUAGGACCAACACUUUACAUGUUGCCUUUAAUAUUUUUGUUCAGUGUAUUUAGCUAUUAGCAUGUAUUAAUGUUAUUGUCAUUUCCGAUUAGCCUAAAAUAACUUUCCAUCGUCACUCGUGGAAAGCAAAUGGCGGACUUGCACUUCAUGGGGGUGCACAGUUGAGGAAACUAAUGCUGCGUACUCCAGUUUGUAAACCGUCUCAAGCACUCAAAAUUGGCUAGGAUUCUCCUCUUUUCAAUACUAGCCAUGUAAUAUGAAAAGUUAAAAAUAUAUAUUCUUAGAAUAUACUUAUUGACAAACUAAAGUGCUGUCAAGAUCUCCCCUGAACACAGAAUUUUUUAACCUUACAGAUAUAUACACAUCUGAGUUAGUUACCUCGCCCUCUUAGCCAUUUAAUCCCUCGUUCAUUGAAUGAGUGAAUUUAUUUUAUAACGACAUGAAAAGUAUUUGGUUGUAAUUGUAAUGCUGCAGGGUGGCCAACCAUCCUCCAGGAGAUUCCAGGAGCGCUUCUGGGUGUGCGGGCUUUUGCUCUAGCCCUGCUCAAACACACCACAUAAAAAAUCAGCUGCUCAACAGGACCUUGAUAAGCUGACUAGUAAUGCUUGAGCUGACUUCUGCUUUCGGAUAAGUAAAAAAUCAGUCAAAUCAAAAAUCGAAUCACAUUUUAUUGGUCACAUACACGUGAUCAAAAGCCUGCACACCCAGUAGCUCUCCAGAUGGAGGGUUGAUGGACUGCAUAUGUUUUAUACAGUAGCCUAUCAGUGCAGUAUUUUACUUUGGGGGGGUUAAGUGUUUUAAUCAAGGCGAUAAUGUAUAAUAUAUGGGAUCAGAGACCGACAGCCUUCCAUUUUCUGUACCAAUGAUAACAAUGAAAGACUGAAAAGCAUUUAAACAUUUUCAACAAUCUUGAA
This is a long non-coding RNA of Oncorhynchus tshawytscha (Chinook salmon), 2795 nucleotides long. RefSeq lists it as uncharacterized. The transcript is spliced from 2 exons. NCBI's taxonomy places the organism in Eukaryota, Metazoa, Chordata, Actinopteri, Salmoniformes, Salmonidae. The record is from RefSeq and is a predicted model, not a curated record.